Molecule: ribosomal RNA, 487 nt
Filed under: uncultured Nostocaceae cyanobacterium
Lineage: Bacteria; Bacillati; Cyanobacteriota; Cyanophyceae; Nostocales; Nostocaceae
Description: bacterial SSU rRNA
Rfam family: Bacterial small subunit ribosomal RNA
Source: RNAcentral
AUGGCUGACGUCAGCUCGUGUCGUGAGAUGUUGGGUUAAGUCCCGCAACGAGCGCAACCCUCGUUUUUAGUUGCCAGCAUUAAGAUGGGCACUCUAGAGAGACUGCCGGUGACAAACCGGAGGAAGGUGGGGAUGACGUCAAGUCAGCAUGCCCCUUACGUCUUGGGCUACACACGUACUACAAUGCUCCGGACAAAGGGCAGCUACACAGCGAUGUGAUGCGAAUCUCAUAAACCGGAGCUCAGUUCAGAUCGAAGGCUGCAACUCGCCUUCGUGAAGGAGGAAUCGCUAGUAAUUGCAGGUCAGCAUACUGCAGUGAAUUCGUUCCCGGGCCUUGUACACACCGCCCGUCACACCAUGGAAGUUGGUCACGCCCGAAGUCGUUACCCCAACCUAUUGGAGGGGGAUGCCUAAGGUAGGACUGAUGACUGGGGUGAAGUCGUAACAAGGUAGCCGUACCGGAAGGUGUGGCUGGAUCACCUCCUUU